AAUCUUUCUAUGACUCAGCUUCUAAGAUGUAAAAUGGAAAAAAAUCUUUAUCAUACUGCCUAUCUUCCUUUUUUGCUGUUGGUUCAAACUCUUAGUUCAGUGGGUUCAAGGCUAUCUCUUAACACGCAUCUUGUAAAUGGACAAUCUUGAAAGAUUUCUGCAGUCAGCACAGCUCACCUCUAUCCUGGGACAUGUCUGUGCUCUGCAAUCUGUUUUACAUAGCAGUGGUUUAGAGACCUUCAUCUGGAGGCCUGGUGACCUUUAUCUCCCCAGAUAUCCUCAUAAGAAGAAAAUGUCAAGUAAUUCUCACUGUUAAUAAAAUUCUUAAUAUUAGGUCAACUGCACAGCAAAUUCUUUCCUCUGCCAUCUUGGUCUGGGAAUGUGAGGUCACUGCUGUUAUGGUAGUAUACAUUUCCAUAGGUUUUGUAGAGAAAAAAUAUAUUUUGCUUUGUAUACUUCCCUAAUACAAAUCCUAGCCAAUCUCACAAUGGAAAAGUUGGAAGCUUUCUUUCGAGACUUGAUAAAGCAAUGAUCUUGGAAUUAUUUUCUAAGUUCUAAGGCUCUUUUGCUGCAAUCUCCAACCUGUCCAAGGAAAUCUAAAAUAAAAGACAAAUAAGUUGUUAAUGACA
RNAcentral lists this long non-coding RNA (629 nucleotides) under Cyanistes caeruleus (blue tit). Its description in RNAcentral is "lncRNA (ENSCCEG00000006284.1)". The record is from RNAcentral. Lineage: Eukaryota; Metazoa; Chordata; Aves; Passeriformes; Paridae.